UGCGGGGUAGAGCAAUUUGGUAGCUCUCAAGGUUCAUAACCUUGAGGUCAUGGGUUCAAAUCCUAUAUCUACAA
This 74-nucleotide transfer RNA is filed under the name Capsicum annuum. It matches the Rfam family "tRNA". From Rfam's summary of the family: Transfer RNA (tRNA) molecules are approximately 80 nucleotides in length. Their secondary structure includes four short double-helical elements and three loops (D, anti-codon, and T loops). Further hydrogen bonds mediate the characteristic L-shaped molecular structure. tRNAs have two regions of fundamental functional importance: the anti-codon, which is responsible for specific mRNA codon recognition, and the 3' end, to which the tRNAs corresponding amino acid is attached (by aminoacyl-tRNA synthetases). tRNAs cope with the degeneracy of the genetic code in two manners: having more than one tRNA (with a specific anti-codon) for a particular amino acid; and 'wobble' base-pairing, i.e. permitting non-standard base-pairing at the 3rd anti-codon position. The record is from Rfam by way of RNAcentral. Lineage: Eukaryota; Viridiplantae; Streptophyta; Magnoliopsida; Solanales; Solanaceae.